AUUGAACGCUGGCGGCAUGCUUUACACAUGCAAGUCGAACGGCAGCGCGGGCUUCGGCCUGGCGGCGAGUGGCGAACGGGUGAGUAAUGCAUCGGAACGUGCCCAGUAGUGGGGGAUAGCCCGGCGAAAGCCGGAUUAAUACCGCAUACGACCUGAGGGUGAAAGCGGGGGACCGAAAGGCCUCGCGCUAUUGGAGCGGCCGAUGUCGGUUUAGCUAGUUGGUGGGGUAAAGGCUUACCAAGGCGACGAUCCGUAGCUGGUCUGAGAGGACGACCAGCCACACUGGGACUGAGACACGGCCCAGACUCCUACGGGAGGCAGCAGUGGGGAAUUUGGGACAAUGGGGGCAACCCUGAUCCAGCCAUGCCGCGUGCGGGAAGAAGGCCUUCGGGUUGUAAACCGCUUUUGUUCGGGAAGAAAUCCUCUGGGCUAAUACCCCGGGGGGAUGACGGUACCGGAAGAAUAAGCACCGGCGAACUACGU
RNAcentral lists this ribosomal RNA (483 nucleotides) under uncultured bacterium. Its description in RNAcentral is "partial 16S ribosomal RNA". It matches the Rfam family "Bacterial small subunit ribosomal RNA", at positions 28 to 506 of the family's 1533-position model. The record is from RNAcentral.